UUGAGCAAGCCAACCUCUCCUCGAUCCUUCGCGCGAGUUCCUCUCGUCCGCCUCUGUCCAGAAAAAAUCCCCUUUCUCCUCCGACCAGAUCCAUCUCCAUCGUCACCUCCUCGUCUCGAUCCGGCGUAGAUCUAGGCCAAAUCGACACACAUCUCCUACUCCAGGCAAGGUGUUCGUCCGCCCAAGGUCCGGGCAGAGCGGAGGCGCGAGAGAAGGAAUCUGUCGAGGUUCUCCGAGGAGCCGCGGCUAGUGGAGGUGAUGUGCGGUGGGGGACGAGCUCCAUGGACGAGGAGGAGGAAGCAGUAGGCGGAGGCUGGCCAGCAGUAUGUUGCGGCUAGCGGUGCCCGGACUGUUGGACGGGCGGCUACUGCGCUGCAUCUACUACUUUCUACUACUGCGCUGCCUCUACUGGUCUCGAAGCAGCACAGGUGACAUGGGAGAACUAAAUCCAACUGGACUAUUCUCAUCUCCUCUUGAACUAGUGCCUCUAGCAGAUCCAAGAAAAGGUAUGCAUCCAGCAGGAGAUGCUGGACUGCUACUUGAGCCUGCUCCAAAUGCUCCUGGAGGGUACUGCCCCAUGUUACCUUGGUAAGCAACACCAUGGUAGCCUGGAGGUAUGGAUGGAACUUGCUGGUUGUUUGGGCUCUGUGCAUCUGAAGGUGAGAAGGAGGAGUUCAUCAUGCUUGUGAAGCUUUCAGAAGAUGAGUGCUCCAUGUUUUGGGGGAGAGUUUUUCCAAGAUCUUCUUGUGCUUCUAUGAGCUUGUUCUGUACAUUUUAUAGACAGAUUCUCCAAAUGGGUAGAUUUUUCUACUGCAGUGCAACGGUCAUCUGGAAAUUUGUGUGCUCUGGUUUGCUGUAAAUUGAAUGUUGUUUGGUAUGGAUUGAAUGAUGUUGCUCGGUGGUGGUUGGGUAGGAAUGCUCCUGUAUAGAUGGCAGUUA
Molecule: long non-coding RNA, 939 nt
Organism: Triticum dicoccoides
Lineage: Eukaryota; Viridiplantae; Streptophyta; Magnoliopsida; Poales; Poaceae
Exons: 3
Source: RefSeq, a predicted model, not a curated record